Molecule: ribosomal RNA, 322 nt
Filed under: uncultured eukaryote
Lineage: Eukaryota
Description: partial 18S ribosomal RNA
Rfam family: Eukaryotic small subunit ribosomal RNA
Source: RNAcentral
CCCUUAGAUGUUCUGGGCCGCACGCGUGCUACACUGAGUGGAUCAGCGGGUCAGGUUGCGCGAAAGUGUUUCCUAAUCUUUAAAUCCGCUCGUGAUGGGGAUUGACGGUUGCAAUUUUCCGUCAUGAACGAGGAAUACCUUGUAAGCGCGGGUCAUCAUCCCGCGCUGAAUACGUCCCUGCCCUUUGUACACACCGCCCGUCGCUCCUACCGAUUGAGUGGUCCGGUGAGGCUUUGGGAUCUGAGCGGAAAGAGCGUUUCGCUGUUUCUGCCCGGAAAACUCAGUCGAACCUUAUCAUUUAGAGGGAGGAGAAGUCGUAACA